UUAGUGUAUAUGUAUCAGCAUCUAUCUACCCAGUUACAGUGUGUGUGUGUUGGUAAGAUGAAAGAAAGGGGGGGGGUGGGGGGGGGAUAAGGGAGGCCAGGGCAGCAGUGUGGUCAGAGCUCUGAUAAGGGAGAGGGGACUGUGGAGGCAUACUUACACCAACUUAGUGCCAGAUUGUUGGGCUGGAGAAGAUCCUGCGAUCCCCCUGCCAAAGAGUUAGAGCUCCCUGCUGGGAAUAACCAGUCACAUUGUUACAGCAGCUAUAGCUAGGAGCUGGCCCCUAGGACCAGCGGAACUACUCACUACAAGCCUCUAAAGGGAGGUUCAGAAAGAUUUGAAGAAGAAGCCAGCAGGAAAUAAGAGGGGGAAAACAGAACCUUUUAAAAAUGAGACACUUCUUGACACGCGGCGAGCAGAGGGAGCACGUGGCAAUGUGUCCGCACGGACCGAAGAGAGUGUCUCUCUUCAUAUCCGAGCACACCAUGCACUCCUCCAAGGACUCCAUGUUGCUGUUCAGAGACGGGCUGCGCGUGCCCACUUGGCCGCUGUGGAAUCACAGAGUGAACAAGAUCAAGAAAUGAGCGACUAGAGCGAACACAUUCAACUAUUAAAGUGGCGGUAUGCUGGUCAUUUACUU
Molecule: long non-coding RNA, 637 nt
Organism: Phyllopteryx taeniolatus (common seadragon)
Lineage: Eukaryota; Metazoa; Chordata; Actinopteri; Syngnathiformes; Syngnathidae
Exons: 2
Source: RefSeq, a predicted model, not a curated record